RNAcentral lists this ribosomal RNA (515 nucleotides) under uncultured bacterium. Its description in RNAcentral is "partial 16S ribosomal RNA". It matches the Rfam family "Bacterial small subunit ribosomal RNA", at positions 28 to 523 of the family's 1533-position model. The record is from RNAcentral.
GAUGAACGCUGGCGGCGUGCCUAAUACAUGCAAGUCGAGCGAAUGGAUUAAGAGCUUGCUCUUAUGAAGUUAGCGGCGGACGGGUGAGUAACACGUGGGUAACCUGCCCAUAAGACUAGGAUAACUCCGGGAAACCGGGGCUAAUACCGGAUAACAUUUUGAACCGCAUGGUUCGAAAUUGAAAGGCGGCUUCGGCUGUCACUUAUGGAUGGACCCGCGUCGCAUUAGCUAGUUGGUGAGGUAACGGCUCACCAAGGCAACGAUGCGUAGCCGACCUGAGAGGGUGAUCGGCCACACUGGGACUGGGACACGGCCCAGACUCCUACGGGAGGCAGCAGUAGGGAAUCUUCCGCAAUGGACGAAAGUCUGACGGAGCAACGCCGCGUGAGUGAUGAAGGCUUUCGGGUCGUAAAACUCUGUUGUUAGGGAAGAACAAGUGCUAGUUGAAUAAGCUGACACCUUGACGGUACCUAACCAGAAAGCCACGGCUAACUACGUGCCAGCCGCCGCCGUAA